RNAcentral lists this long non-coding RNA (1504 nucleotides) under Cottoperca gobio. RNAcentral's name for it is "lncRNA (ENSCGOG00000009960.1)". Lineage: Eukaryota; Metazoa; Chordata; Actinopteri; Perciformes; Bovichtidae. The record is from RNAcentral.
GUGGGAGUGGCUGGCUGGUGAGGUGAGAAGGAGGCGAGGUGUGGAAGUACUGGAGCAGACUGUGACAUCCAUAGUUCACCAUGAAGAGAAAAAAGGACAUUAUGUCCUAUUUCUGCCCCCAAAAGAAAAACAAAAAUGAUGAGGCAGACAUUGAGACAGAGCCAGAUGAUCCAGGUGUUGAAAAAGCUGAGGAGGAAACGUCCAGAAGUUGAGAGCGCUACAGAAAGAGAGCCAGAGGAUUUGAUCUUUGAAGAGAUUGGUUUCCAAAGUGAGGGCACAGAGCAGGGAAGAAAGACAGAUGAAGAUCCAGAGAGUGAGGCUGAGGGUGACAUACAAGCAGAGUGUGAGACGCAGACAGAAGAUCCAUGUGCAUCUACAAGCAUUGGACCAUCAGAUAUCAGCAAAUUCAAAGAAGACCCACCGAUGCAGCCAAAUCUGAAACUGUUUCCACGGACCUUGAUGGGGGACAGAAGAAGGAGUUUCAAGGCGGCCUGGUACAACAUUCACCCCUGGCUUGAGUAUUCUAAACGGUCGGACUCUGCGUAUUGUUACGCCUGAAGACAUUUUAGUCCUCCUAAUUGCACAGAGACUGUAUUUGACUCACAAUUGGGAUUCAAAAACUGGAAGAAGGCAACUAACAAAGAGGGGGGUUUGCAGAGCGGUUAAACGCUGAUCAUGUGAAGGCAUCUUAAGUGUUGCAGUUCUAUGUGACCACCGGAAGACAGCAGAGUCAGAUUUAUUUGUUCAGCUCCACUACGGUCAAGUCAGAAAUAAUAUUAUACAUACCAAGUUUUUACUUCCGCUGAUCUUUCAAAAACUAAUUUUCAUAUGUAGCAUCCAAUCUAAAUUCUAAAUUCUUGUUUGUUUUUAUUGUAUUAUGUUUUUAUUUAUAUGGAAGUCUUAAACAGAUAUUAUGUAAAAUCAAUGAUUUAUGUAAUAACAUUAUAUUUACAUUACAGUUCAUUUAGCUGACGCUUUUGUCCAAUGUGACUUCAAACAAUCAUGAGGAUAAAGCUCCGAACAGCAAGAAUCUUAGAAGUAGCUUCAAAUAGGUGAAAUCAUUUAAGUGCAGAACAAUAGCUUCAAAUAAGCCAAACCAAAAUGCAAAAUACAGAAACAAUAGAAUACAAAUUCAACCCCUUUUCAUUCGUCGAGGUGCAGUUGAAACAGGUAAGUUUUCAGUCUGCGACGGAAGGUGUGAAGAUCAUCUGCUGUCCUCACAUCAAUGGGGAGCUCGUUCCACCAUUUUGGAGCCGGAUAGCAAACAGGCGGUUUUGUUUGAGGGGAAUCUGAGUCCCACUCGCAGUGAGGGAGCAGCAAUAACUUUGUCAUGUUUUUUGUUAAUGUUUGACUUUAUUCAAGUUCUUUAAAAAAACAUUCAUCUUCAUCUUACUUUCAGGCGUAUUUGAUUCUUAUUCGUCCUCCACCAUGGUGUUUGGAUGUAAUGCUGCUUAGUGUUGUUGGUUACCAACAUUAAGGAGAAUUAAAGUUACGCUUGAAGCUC